GAUGAACCACUUCGGUGGGGAAGAGUGGCGAACGGGUGAGUAACACGUGGGCAAUCUGCCCUGCACUCUGGGAUAACUCCGGGAAACCGGAGCUAAUACCGGAUACGACUCUCCAGGGCAUCCUGGGGGGUGGAAAGCUCCGGCGGUGCAGGAUGAGCCCGCGGCCUAUCAGCUGGUUGGUGGGGUAACGGCCCACCAAGGCGACGACGGGUAGCCGGCCUGAGAGGGCGACCGGCCACACUGGGACUGAGACACGGCCCAGACUCCUACGGGAGGCAGCAGUGGGGAAUAUUGCACAAUGGGCGCAAGCCUGAUGCAGCGACGCCGCGUGAGGGAUGACGGCCUUCGGGUUGUAAACCUCUUUCAGCAGGGAAGAAGCGCAAGUGACGGUACCUGCAGAAGAAGCACCGGCUAACUACGUGCCAGCAGCCGCGGUAAUACGUAGGGUGCGAGCGUUGUCCGGAAUUAUUGGGCGUAAAGAGCUCGUAGGCGGCCUGUCGCGUCGGAUGUGAAAGCCCGGGGCUUAACCCCGGGUCGGCAUUCGAUACGGGCAGGCUAGAGUUCGGUAGGGGAGAUCGGAAUUCCUGGUGUAGCGGUGAAAUGCGCAGAUAUCAGGAGGAACACCGGUGGCGAAGGCGGAUCUCUGGGCCGAUACUGACGCUGAGGAGCGAAAGCGUGGGGAGCGAACAGGAUUAGAUACCCUGGUAGUCCACGCCGUAAACGUUGGGCACUAGGUGUGGGCG
RNAcentral lists this ribosomal RNA (743 nucleotides) under Streptomyces sp. RNAcentral's name for it is "bacterial SSU rRNA". It matches the Rfam family "Bacterial small subunit ribosomal RNA", at positions 68 to 828 of the family's 1533-position model. Lineage: Bacteria; Bacillati; Actinomycetota; Actinomycetes; Kitasatosporales; Streptomycetaceae. The record is from RNAcentral.